Molecule: long non-coding RNA, 377 nt
Organism: Neodiprion fabricii
Lineage: Eukaryota; Metazoa; Arthropoda; Insecta; Hymenoptera; Diprionidae
Exons: 3
Source: RefSeq, a predicted model, not a curated record
AAAUACGGGUUCGGAAAGCUGUUAGUAAAGCAGAAGCAGAAGUGCAGUUGCAACGACACAAACCUACCGCAAAGAACUGUCGUUAUGAAGCUGUUCGCCACCGUUCUUUUCGCCGUCUUGGCGCUCUUCGCAAUCUACUCCGAAAUCGAAGCUCAACAUACUUUCACAGGAAGUAAAAAUUGUCAGGGAACUUCGGAUCAUCGGUGUCCUCAGAUCUUGUGCGGACCGGAUGGGCCGAAAGGAAGAGUCAAUCAGGACAACAGCAAACCGUUUCCGCAAUGCUGCGGACACCCGAUUUGUUAAUAACUCGUCGAUUUAAUACUCGGACGAAUUAUGUAAAUACAUUAAGUUUGAAUAAAUGUCUCACCGUUCGAUAA